AGAGUUUGAUCAUGGCUCAGAACGUACGCUGGCGGCACGCCUAACACAUGCAAGUCGAACGAAGUAGCAAUACUUAGUGGCAGACGGGUGAGUAACAUGUAGGUAUCUGCCCUUUGGCCUGGAAUAACACGAGGAAACUUGUGCUAAUACCGGAUAAGUCUUUACGGAGAAAGCUUUAUGCACCAUUGGAUGAGCCUGCACUUGAUUAGUUUGUUGGUGGGGUAAUGGCCUACCAAGACUGUGAUCAAUAGCUGAUUUGAGAGGAUGAUCAGCCACAUUGGGACUGAGACACGGCCCAAACUCCUACGGGAGGCAGCAGUGGGGAAUCUUGCACAAUGGAGGAAACUCUGAUGCAGCGAUGCCGCGUGAGUGAAGAAGGCCCUUGGGUUGUAAAGCUCUUUCGUCGGGGAAGAAAAUGACUGUACCCGAAUAAGAAGGUCCGGCUAACUUCGUGCCAGCAGCCGCGGUAAUACGAAGGGACCUAGCGUAGUUCGGAAUUACUGGGCUUAAAGAGUUCGUAGGUGGUUGAAAAAGUUAGUGGUGAAAUCCCAGAGCUUAACUCUGGAACUGCCAUUAAAACUUUUCAGCUAGAGUAUGAUAGAGGAAAGCAGAAUUUCUAGUGUAGAGGUGAAAUUCGUAGAUAUUAGAAAGAAUACCAAUUGCGAAGGCAGCUUUCUGGAUCAUUACUGACACUGAGGAACGAAAGCAUGGGUAGCGAAGAGGAUUAGAUACCCUCGUAGUCCAUGCCGUAAACGAUGUGUGUUAGACGUUGGAAAUUUAUUUUCAGUGUCGCAGGGAAACCGAUAAACACACCGCCUGGGGAGUACGACCGCAAGGUUAAAACUCAAAUGAAUUGACGGGGACCCGCACAAGUAGUGGAGCAUGUGGUUUAAUUCGAAGAUACGCGCAGAACCUUACCAACACUUGACAUGUUCGUCGCGACUCUAAGAGAUUAGAGUUUUCGGUUCGGCCGGACGAAACACAGGUGCUGCAUGGCUGUCGUCAGCUCGUGUCGUGAGAUGUUGGGUUAAGUCCCGCAACGAGCGCAACCCUCACUUUUAGUUGCCAUCAUUAAGUUGGGCACUCUGAAAGAACUGCCAGUGAUAAGCUGGAGGAAGGUGGGGAUGACGUCAAGUCCUCAUGGCCCUUACGUGUUGGGCUACACACGUGCUACAAUGGUAUCUACAACAGGAAGCAAGACUGCGAGGUCAAGCAAAUCCUUAAAAGAUACCUCAGUUCGGAUUGCACUCUGCAACUCGAGUGCAUGAAGCUGGAAUUACUAGUAAUCGUGGAUCAGCGUGCCACGGUGAAUGCGUUCCCGGGUCUUGUACACACCGCCCGUCACACCAUGGGAGUUGGUUCUACCUUAAGGCAAGGUUUCAAACCCUUGACCACGGUAUAGUCAGCGACUGGGGUGAAGUCAUAACAAGGUAGCCGUA
Molecule: ribosomal RNA, 1439 nt
Filed under: uncultured bacterium
Lineage: Bacteria
Description: bacterial SSU rRNA
Rfam family: Bacterial small subunit ribosomal RNA
Source: RNAcentral